This 253-nucleotide ribosomal RNA is filed under the name uncultured bacterium. RNAcentral's name for it is "partial 16S ribosomal RNA". It matches the Rfam family "Bacterial small subunit ribosomal RNA", at positions 524 to 776 of the family's 1533-position model. The record is from RNAcentral.
UACAGAGGGGGCAAGCGUUAUUCGGAAUUAUUGGGCGUAAAGGGCGCGUAGGCGGCCUGGCAAGUGGAAGGUGAAAUCCCUCGGCUUAACCGAGGAACUGCCCUCCAAACUGCUUGGCUUGAGUCCGGGAGAGGUGAGUGGAAUUCCCAGUGUAGCGGUGAAAUGCGUAGAUAUUGGGAAGAACACCGGUGGCGAAGGCGGCUCACUGGCUCAUUUCUGACGCUCAGGCGCGACAGCGUGGGGAUCAAACAGG